Molecule: ribosomal RNA, 442 nt
Filed under: uncultured bacterium
Lineage: Bacteria
Description: bacterial SSU rRNA
Rfam family: Bacterial small subunit ribosomal RNA
Source: RNAcentral
AACGCGAAGAACCUUACCUGGGCUCGAAAUGUAGAGGAAUAUGUCAGAGAUGCCAUAGCUCGCAAGGGCCUCUAUAUAGGUGCUGCAUGGCUGUCGUCAGCUCGUGCCGUGAGGUGUUUGGUUAAGUCCAGCAACGAGCGCAACCCUUAUCGUUAGUUGCCAGCACGUAAUGGUGGGAACUCUAACGAGACUGCCUGGGUUAACCAGGAGGAAGGUGAGGAUGACGUCAAGUCCGCAUGGCCUUUAUGUCCAGGGCUACACACGUGCUACAAUGGUCGGUACAGAAGGCAGCGAAACCGUAAGGCGGAGCAAAUCCUGAAAAACCGAUCUCAGUUCAGAUUGUAGUCUGCAACUCGACUACAUGAAGUUGGAAUUGCUAGUAAUGGCGUGUCAGCAACAACGCCGUGAAUACGUUCCCGGGCCUUGUACACACCGAGACGAC